UAUUUUUGUUUCAACUUGACUUAAAAAAAAAAAAAAAAUAAAUAUUAAGUAUUUAUAAAAAUACCGUCAUCUUUGUUAAACUCCUUUGUGCGAGUAUUUCUUCGCAGUUUUUAAAAAACUGUUGGUUCAGUUUGUUUUUUAAAUUAGCAGAGUUACUUCUUUACCGAGCGGAACGUUGGGUUAGAACAUUUUUCCUUUUUCCCUCCAUAAUUGUGACUGUUGUAACGCUUCUUGAACCUGCAUAGUGCCUACUGCUGAAAAUACUGAAAAUAAAUAAAAAAAAGUCACUUUUAACAAUUGAAGAAGUCACUUGUCUUCAAUAUUGACAUUCAUUUUUUAACAAAAAUCAAGUUGAACAUGGCACCGAACAACUCAGAUAGAUCAGACUCAUCGGAAUUUUUUGUUGAAGUUCAUAAAGAAAUCCAGUAUCCGUCUUUA
Cotesia glomerata is the source of this 438-nucleotide long non-coding RNA. RefSeq lists it as uncharacterized. The transcript has 2 exons. The record is from RefSeq and is a predicted model, not a curated record. Lineage: Eukaryota; Metazoa; Arthropoda; Insecta; Hymenoptera; Braconidae.